GCUGGGCAUGGUGGUGCAUGCCUGUAGUCCCAGCUACUCAGGAGGCUGAGGCAGAAGAAUCGCUUGAACCCAGGAGGUGGAGGUUGCAGUGAGCCAAGAUCGCACCACUGCACUCCCACCUGGGCGACAGAGUGAGACUCCGUCUCAA
RNAcentral lists this non-coding RNA (148 nucleotides) under Homo sapiens (human). The record is from Rfam by way of RNAcentral. Lineage: Eukaryota; Metazoa; Chordata; Mammalia; Primates; Hominidae.